UUGGAAGGAAGAGAGCAAGACAGAGUCUUCUGUAACUGAUUGUAAGCACUGGACUACUUUGCCCUAUCCAGACUGAGAAGAAACACAUCCUAACAGCAGCCCAUCCACUUUCUCCACAGCAGUUCAAGGAUGCAAAAAUAUUCGAAGUCUGAGAAUCAGUACGAAACUUCUUCUCAUUCAUCAUAUGACGGAUAUUCAGAAAUGGUCUGAUGCCCAACAGGACAUCUGGUCCCUUCAUAACUGUGAUUCAGAACAAUACUGAGGGAGAGGGACCUUCUCGACAACAAAGAAUGUGUUUGGCUCUUUGUAUGAUGAAUAAAUCCACCUUCCUGCUAAUGUUUAUGGAUGGGCAAUGAUGGAACAGGGAAGGAGUUGAAUGGGAGGAAAGAAGUUCUCUGCUAGGUGGAAGUGAUGAAUGAAAUCAUCACCUAGAAAGUGAAGGCUACUUUGCCUGCCUGAGCUGUGAUCACUGAAAGAACUUCCAACUUACUAAGAACAUCGGAGUGGAUAAAAAUAUCAGACUAUUUCAAUACAAGACUGGAGAAAAAAAAAUGAAACUAAGGUCAGGACCUACUGAAGGAAGAAAUAAACAUGCAAAAAGCAAGUCUGUCAGGAGCCGCUGGUGCAUGGGAGACCAUUUAAACUCUGGAAUACGAAACAUAGUUGUGCGUGGACCUGGACUAAACUGUCGUCGC
Long non-coding RNA from Falco peregrinus (peregrine falcon), 695 nucleotides. RefSeq lists it as uncharacterized. The transcript has 3 exons. NCBI's taxonomy places the organism in Eukaryota, Metazoa, Chordata, Aves, Falconiformes, Falconidae. The record is from RefSeq and is a predicted model, not a curated record.